Molecule: non-coding RNA, 110 nt
Organism: Acanthosepion pharaonis
Lineage: Eukaryota; Metazoa; Mollusca; Cephalopoda; Sepiida; Sepiidae
Source: the annotation of a GenBank genome assembly
CAUUCAUAUCAUGGUGAAACACCAGUUCUCGUAUGAUCACUGAAGUUAAGCAACGUUGAGCCUGGUCAGUACCUAAAUGGAUGACCACUUGGGAAUUCCAGGUGUUGUAA